This 2924-nucleotide ribosomal RNA is filed under the name Escherichia coli. RNAcentral describes it as "23S ribosomal RNA". It matches the Rfam family "Bacterial large subunit ribosomal RNA". Lineage: Bacteria; Pseudomonadati; Pseudomonadota; Gammaproteobacteria; Enterobacterales; Enterobacteriaceae. The record is from RNAcentral.
GGGUUGUGAGGUUAAGCGACUAAGCGUACACGGUGGAUGCCCUGGCAGUCAGAGGCGAUGAAGGACGUGCUAAUCUGCGAUAAGCGUCGGUAAGGUGAUAUGAACCGUUAUAACCGGCGAUUUCCGAAUGGGGAAACCCAGUGUGUUUCGACACACUAUCAUUAACUGAAUCCAUAGGUUAAUGAGGCGAACCGGGGGAACUGAAACAUCUAAGUACCCCGAGGAAAAGAAAUCAACCGAGAUUCCCCCAGUAGCGGCGAGCGAACGGGGAGGAGCCCAGAGCCUGAAUCAGUGUGUGUGUUAGUGGAAGCGUCUGGAAAGGCGCGCGAUACAGGGUGACAGCCCCGUACACAAAAAUGCACAUGCUGUGAGCUCGAUGAGUAGGGCGGGACACGUGGUAUCCUGUCUGAAUAUGGGGGGACCAUCCUCCAAGGCUAAAUACUCCUGACUGACCGAUAGUGAACCAGUACCGUGAGGGAAAGGCGAAAAGAACCCCGGCGAGGGGAGUGAAAAAGAACCUGAAACCGUGUACGUACAAGCAGUGGGAGCACGCUUAGGCGUGUGACUGCGUACCUUUUGUAUAAUGGGUCAGCGACUUAUAUUCUGUAGCAAGGUUAACCGAAUAGGGGAGCCGAAGGGAAACCGAGUCUUAACUGGGCGUUAAGUUGCAGGGUAUAGACCCGAAACCCGGUGAUCUAGCCAUGGGCAGGUUGAAGGUUGGGUAACACUAACUGGAGGACCGAACCGACUAAUGUUGAAAAAUUAGCGGAUGACUUGUGGCUGGGGGUGAAAGGCCAAUCAAACCGGGAGAUAGCUGGUUCUCCCCGAAAGCUAUUUAGGUAGCGCCUCGUGAAUUCAUCUCCGGGGGUAGAGCACUGUUUCGGCAAGGGGGUCAUCCCGACUUACCAACCCGAUGCAAACUGCGAAUACCGGAGAAUGUUAUCACGGGAGACACACGGCGGGUGCUAACGUCCGUCGUGAAGAGGGAAACAACCCAGACCGCCAGCUAAGGUCCCAAAGUCAUGGUUAAGUGGGAAACGAUGUGGGAAGGCCCAGACAGCCAGGAUGUUGGCUUAGAAGCAGCCAUCAUUUAAAGAAAGCGUAAUAGCUCACUGGUCGAGUCGGCCUGCGCGGAAGAUGUAACGGGGCUAAACCAUGCACCGAAGCUGCGGCAGCGACACUAUGUGUUGUUGGGUAGGGGAGCGUUCUGUAAGCCUGUGAAGGUGUGCUGUGAGGCAUGCUGGAGGUAUCAGAAGUGCGAAUGCUGACAUAAGUAACGAUAAAGCGGGUGAAAAGCCCGCUCGCCGGAAGACCAAGGGUUCCUGUCCAACGUUAAUCGGGGCAGGGUGAGUCGACCCCUAAGGCGAGGCCGAAAGGCGUAGUCGAUGGGAAACAGGUUAAUAUUCCUGUACUUGGUGUUACUGCGAAGGGGGGACGGAGAAGGCUAUGUUGGCCGGGCGACGGUUGUCCCGGUUUAAGCGUGUAGGCUGGUUUUCCAGGCAAAUCCGGAAAAUCAAGGCUGAGGCGUGAUGACGAGGCACUACGGUGCUGAAGCAACAAAUGCCCUGCUUCCAGGAAAAGCCUCUAAGCAUCAGGUAACAUCAAAUCGUACCCCAAACCGACACAGGUGGUCAGGUAGAGAAUACCAAGGCGCUUGAGAGAACUCGGGUGAAGGAACUAGGCAAAAUGGUGCCGUAACUUCGGGAGAAGGCACGCUGAUAUGUAGGUGAAGUCCCUCGCGGAUGGAGCUGAAAUCAGUCGAAGAUACCAGCUGGCUGCAACUGUUUAUUAAAAACACAGCACUGUGCAAACACGAAAGUGGACGUAUACGGUGUGACGCCUGCCCGGUGCCGGAAGGUUAAUUGAUGGGGUCAGCGCAAGCGAAGCUCUUGAUCGAAGCCCCGGUAAACGGCGGCCGUAACUAUAACGGUCCUAAGGUAGCGAAAUUCCUUGUCGGGUAAGUUCCGACCUGCACGAAUGGCGUAAUGAUGGCCAGGCUGUCUCCACCCGAGACUCAGUGAAAUUGAACUCGCUGUGAAGAUGCAGUGUACCCGCGGCAAGACGGAAAGACCCCGUGAACCUUUACUAUAGCUUGACACUGAACAUUGAGCCUUGAUGUGUAGGAUAGGUGGGAGGCUUUGAAGUGUGGACGCCAGUCUGCAUGGAGCCGACCUUGAAAUACCACCCUUUAAUGUUUGAUGUUCUAACGUUGACCCGUAAUCCGGGUUGCGGACAGUGUCUGGUGGGUAGUUUGACUGGGGCGGUCUCCUCCUAAAGAGUAACGGAGGAGCACGAAGGUUGGCUAAUCCUGGUCGGACAUCAGGAGGUUAGUGCAAUGGCAUAAGCCAGCUUGACUGCGAGCGUGACGGCGCGAGCAGGUGCGAAAGCAGGUCAUAGUGAUCCGGUGGUUCUGAAUGGAAGGGCCAUCGCUCAACGGAUAAAAGGUACUCCGGGGAUAACAGGCUGAUACCGCCCAAGAGUUCAUAUCGACGGCGGUGUUUGGCACCUCGAUGUCGGCUCAUCACAUCCUGGGGCUGAAGUAGGUCCCAAGGGUAUGGCUGUUCGCCAUUUAAAGUGGUACGCGAGCUGGGUUUAGAACGUCGUGAGACAGUUCGGUCCCUAUCUGCCGUGGGCGCUGGAGAACUGAGGGGGGCUGCUCCUAGUACGAGAGGACCGGAGUGGACGCAUCACUGGUGUUCGGGUUGUCAUGCCAAUGGCACUGCCCGGUAGCUAAAUGCGGAAGAGAUAAGUGCUGAAAGCAUCUAAGCACGAAACUUGCCCCGAGAUGAGUUCUCCCUGACCCUUUAAGGGUCCUGAAGGAACGUUGAAGACGACGACGUUGAUAGGCCGGGUGUGUAAGCGCAGCGAUGCGUUGAGCUAACCGGUACUAAUGAACCGUGAGGCUUAACCUUACAACGCCGAAG